UGUGCCCUUGAGGCGUGGCUUCCGGAGCUAACGCGUUAAGUCGACCGCCUGGGGAGUACGGCCGCAAGGUUAAAACUCAAAUGAAUUGACGGGGGCCCGCACAAGCGGUGGAGCAUGUGGUUUAAUUCGAUGCAACGCGAAGAACCUUACCUACUCUUGACAUCCAGAGAACUUUCCAGAGAUGGAUUGGUGCCUUCGGGAACUCUGAGACAGGUGCUGCAUGGCUGUCGUCAGCUCGUGUUGUGAAAUGUUGGGUUAAGUCCCGCAACGAGCGCAACCCUUAUCCUUUGUUGCCAGCGGUCCGGCCGGGAACUCAAAGGAGACUGCCAGUGAUAAACUGGAGGAAGGUGGGGAUGACGUCAAGUCAUCAUGGCCCUUACGAGUAGGGCUACACACGUGCUACAAUGGCGCAUACAAAGAGAAGCGAACUCGCGAGAGCAAGCGGACCUCAUAAAGUGCGUCGUAGUCCGGAUUGGAGUCUGCAACUCGACUCCAUGAAGUCGGAAUCGCUAGUAAUCGUAGAUCAGAAUGCUACGGUGAAUACGUUCCCGGGCCUUGCACUCACCCGCCCGUC
This 574-nucleotide ribosomal RNA is filed under the name Enterobacterales bacterium. Its description in RNAcentral is "bacterial SSU rRNA". It matches the Rfam family "Bacterial small subunit ribosomal RNA", at positions 825 to 1398 of the family's 1533-position model. Lineage: Bacteria; Pseudomonadati; Pseudomonadota; Gammaproteobacteria; Enterobacterales. The record is from RNAcentral.